GACGUAGGGCGCGAGCGUUGUCCGGAUUUAUUGGGCGUAAAGAGCUCGUAGGCGGUUUGUCGCGUCGUCUGUGAAAACCCACGGCUCAACUGUGGGCUUGCAGUCGAUACGGGCAGGCUAGAGUUCGGUAGGGGAGACUGGAAUUCCCGGUGUAGCGGUGAAAUGCGCAGAUAUCGGGAAGAACACCCGUGGCGAAGGCGGCUCUCUGGGACGGUACUGACGCUGAGACGCGAAAGCGUGGGGAGCGAACAGG
RNAcentral lists this ribosomal RNA (253 nucleotides) under uncultured bacterium. Its description in RNAcentral is "partial 16S ribosomal RNA". It matches the Rfam family "Bacterial small subunit ribosomal RNA", at positions 524 to 776 of the family's 1533-position model. The record is from RNAcentral.